This 29-nucleotide non-coding RNA is filed under the name Rattus norvegicus (Norway rat). Lineage: Eukaryota; Metazoa; Chordata; Mammalia; Rodentia; Muridae. The record is from RNAcentral.
UAAGCAUUCACCCACACUGGCCACUCUGC